Long non-coding RNA from Phasianus colchicus (ring-necked pheasant), 379 nucleotides. RefSeq lists it as uncharacterized. The record is from RefSeq and is a predicted model, not a curated record. Lineage: Eukaryota; Metazoa; Chordata; Aves; Galliformes; Phasianidae.
GUGGUGGUGAUGGUGAAGGCCUUCAAAAGCCAGCCUCUUCCAUGCUGCACCUCUGAAGGGAGCUCUUGAAUAGUCUACAGGAAGAAAGAGAGGAGGCCUGCAGAUACGCCCUACUCAGCUGAAGUUACCCUGCCAACAUCCACACAGACUGCGCUUUGAAAGGAGGGAAUGGCUGAAGGAGACCCGAGAUUCCUCUUCUCCUGUUAUGGAAGUCGCAACUCUUGUAUGCAGUAUCUGCCUCCAGAAGCCAUGUGGUGACACUGGAACGACAGCAUCCCAGCCUUGGACAGACCAGGCUGCCGAUUUGAGAAGGUGAGAGGCGUAACGAGGAAUUUGGUUUCAGCUACCUGGACCCAGUGGUGCAGAAUUUUUAUUGUCC